RNAcentral lists this ribosomal RNA (468 nucleotides) under uncultured bacterium. RNAcentral describes it as "partial 16S ribosomal RNA". It matches the Rfam family "Bacterial small subunit ribosomal RNA", at positions 28 to 507 of the family's 1533-position model. The record is from RNAcentral.
GACGAGCGCUGGCGGCGUGCUUAACACAUGCAAGUCGAACGGAAAGGCCCUGCUUUUGUGGGGUGCUCGAGUGGCGAACGGGUGAGUAACACGUGAGUAACCUGCCCUUGACUUUGGGAUAACUUCAGGGAACUGGGGCUAAUACCGGAUAGGAGCUCCUGCUGCAUGGUGGGGGUUGGAAAGUUUCGGUGGUUGGGGAUGGACUCGCGGCUUAUCAGCUUGUUGGUGGGGUAGUGGCUUACCAAGGCUUUGACGGGUAGCCGGCCUGAGAGGGUGACCGGCCACAUUGGGACUGAGAUACGGCCCAGACUCCUACGGGAGGCAGCAGUGGGGAAUAUUGCACAAUGGGCGGAAGCCUGAUGCAGCAACGCCGCGUGCGGGAUGACGGCCUUCGGGUUGUAAACCGCUUUCGCCUGUGACGAAGCGUGAGUGACGGUAAUGGGUAAAGAAGCACCGGCUAACUACGUG